UUCCUUCUUUCUCUCAUUCACAUCUGCUUUGGAGCUCUCUCUCAAGCAUUUGGGACUUUGUCUUCUUGUUGAAAAGAUAGCAAGGACCCUUAGUGAACUUCUUUCAUUCUUUUUAUUGCCUUUUUCCUUAUGUAGUGCAGAAAGUCAAACGUUUGGCCAACAGCUUGACUUUCGGUUUUGACCAUCGAUUGGUCAAGUCAAAGUUCAAUUGAACUUUGAAACGUGAUUGUAAUCACGAUAGUUAUAAUCCUUCGUGAUUAUAACCGCUGAUUACCACGUUAGCUAGUUGUAGUGUCGAGUCAAAGUUUCGGUCAAAAUGCGUUUUAGCAUGCAUUUUGCCUCGGAACUACUUUAGGGUAUCAAAACACUUUGUUUUGAUACCAAAUCAGUAGGUUGGACAUGUUUUGACAUGUCUAACUCGACACUAUUAGUUUGUGCUUGUUUAGGGUCGUAAGGUAAGCGGUCUAAACAACCGCUUAUACUUCCGAACCCGACCCGUUUGGUCGAUCUUUAGGAUCCGACCAAGCUUAGUUAGUGAUCAUAGUUGCAUAGGGAAUAACCACUGAGGUUAUACCUUAUGAUCACAUAGGAUUGGUUAGUCAUUUGCUAGUUAGCUUGUAUGCCCAUAGGAAAUGACCAAAAUACCCUUUUGAAGCUAAAAUCCGUAUUUUUAUUAUGUGAACAUAUUUUUGACUUGUAAUCUGACUUAGUAACAUGUUUAGGGAUUAUUGGGCAUGUAAGACUUGGCAUAGCAUAUAGUUAACCGUCCGAUCAUAGUUUUACGCUAAUGACGCCUUAUAGUAACUUAUGUUACCAUAAUGUGUCAAAACGGGUCAAAAGCACUUAGGUAGGCUUUCCAAUCAGAAUGUUGGGACUAUUAAAUCAUACCAUAUGAGUUCAAUUACUCAUUUGAUUUAUAGAACCUCAUUCUAUCCUAUCUCCCGAUUUAGGAGCCGAUUUAUUAACAUAGUUACCUAUACUAGGUGCCGGUUGAUUCCGUGAUACUUGGAAAUUGGUCUUAUUCUCAAGACUAAUUAGCAACCCAAGUGAGUACAUAGUUCCCCUCUUUUACCGUUUUCAAAUAUUUUGGGGUGAUACACAUGUACAUACAUGUUACUUUUGUGCAUUUCAUGUUUUUAUGACAUAAACAUGUUAGUUUCACCUAGUACACUUAUAGUACAUGUUUUCCAUUGUGUUUUGCUAUGUAUGUUAAGCAUGCUAGCACAUUGAUUUGUUACACCUUUGUUGCAUAUGUUUACUUAGCAUAUGGAACACAUUGUUUUACAUGAUAUUUCUGCUAUGCAUGUUUACUUAGCAUUCCUAGUACAUGGUUUUCACAUGCUACAUUGGGUAUGACAUUUGGUAUGUUCAAUCGGGACAAUAAUACAUUCAUUAACAUUGAUCACGCCGCUCGGACUUAUGUAAUGGUACCAUAGGAAUUGACAACUCCCGUUUCCGACUUCCUGGGUUUGUUUGGAAGUUGGGGAUGACAGAAUCCGACUACAUAAAUUUAAAUGAACCUUUAAUUCGUUUAAGGGUUUGUCGCCACAGUCUCAAGGCUUGAAUGCAUGUGAUUAAAAUUACUGCAUAAAUGUUUGUAAUCAUAAAGCAUUGUUUUUAUGCAAAGCAUAACAUUUGAUUUAAACUUAGGUUUAUUCAAAAACAUGUUUUGUACAUUUUCUAUGGGGUUGAGUAACUUCUAGUUAUUCACCAUACAUGACAUUUAGUUUCCACAUUAGACAUCAUUACAUAGUUAAGUAGAUGAUUUCCUACUUGCUAUGCAUUUCAUUUGGUUAUACAUGAAACAUUUCACACAUGACAUUGUACAUGGUUUACACAUAUACAUUU
Molecule: long non-coding RNA, 1848 nt
Filed under: Helianthus annuus (common sunflower)
Lineage: Eukaryota; Viridiplantae; Streptophyta; Magnoliopsida; Asterales; Asteraceae
Description: hypothetical non coding rna
Source: RNAcentral